This 252-nucleotide ribosomal RNA is filed under the name uncultured bacterium. RNAcentral's name for it is "partial 16S ribosomal RNA". It matches the Rfam family "Bacterial small subunit ribosomal RNA", at positions 524 to 776 of the family's 1533-position model. The record is from RNAcentral.
UACGAAGGGGGCUAGCGUUGCUCGGAAUUACUGGGCGUAAAGGGCGCGUAGGCGGACAGUUUAGUCAGAGGUGAAAGCCCCAGGGCUCAACCUUGGAAUAGCCUUUGAUACUGACUGUCUUGAGUUCGGGAGAGGUGAGUGGAAUGCCGAGUGUAGAGGUGAAAUUCGUAGAUAUUCGGCGGAACACCAGUGGCGAAGGCGACUCACUGGCCCGAUACUGACGCUGAGGCGCGAAAGCGUGGGAGCAACAGG